Molecule: non-coding RNA, 75 nt
Organism: Mercenaria mercenaria
Lineage: Eukaryota; Metazoa; Mollusca; Bivalvia; Venerida; Veneridae
Source: the annotation of a RefSeq genome assembly
GCCCGGCUUGCUCAGUCGGUAGAGCAUCAAACUUUUAAUCUGAAGGUCAUGGGUUCAAGUCCCAUGUUGGGAGCA